UACGGGGGGGGCAAGCGUUGUUCGGAAUUACUGGGCGUAAAGGGCUCGUAGGCGGCCAACUAAGUCGGAUGUGAAAUCCCCAAGCUUAACUUGGGAACUGCAUCCGAUACUGGAUGGCUUGAAUCCGGGAGAGGGAUGCAGAAUUCCAGGUGUAGCGGUGAAAUGCGCAGAUAUCAGGAGGAACACCGAUUGCGAAGGCAGCUUGCUGGGACGUUACUGACGCUAAGGCGCGAAAGCGUGGGGAGCGAACAGG
This 253-nucleotide ribosomal RNA is filed under the name uncultured bacterium. RNAcentral's name for it is "partial 16S ribosomal RNA". It matches the Rfam family "Bacterial small subunit ribosomal RNA", at positions 524 to 776 of the family's 1533-position model. The record is from RNAcentral.